Molecule: ribosomal RNA, 253 nt
Filed under: uncultured bacterium
Lineage: Bacteria
Description: partial 16S ribosomal RNA
Rfam family: Bacterial small subunit ribosomal RNA
Source: RNAcentral
UACAGAGGUCUCAAGCGUUGUUCGGAUUCAUUGGGCGUAAAGGGUGUGUAGGUGGCGCCGUAAGUCGGGUGUGAAAUUUCGGAGCUUAACUCCGAAACUGCAUUCGAUACUGCGGUGCUUGAGGACUGGAGAGGAGACUGGAAUUCAUGGUGUAGCAGUGAAAUGCGUAGAUAUUGGGAAGAACACCGGUGGCGAAGGCGGCUAUCUGGACCGACAUUGACGCUGAUGCGCGAAAGCGUGGGGAGCAAACAGG